GAGGUUGUGGCUCAGUGGUAGAGCACUCACCUAGGGCUUGUGAGGCACUGGGUUCAAUCCUCAGAACCACA
This 71-nucleotide transfer RNA is filed under the name Marmota monax (woodchuck). RNAcentral's name for it is "tRNA.Pro". Lineage: Eukaryota; Metazoa; Chordata; Mammalia; Rodentia; Sciuridae. The record is from RNAcentral.